RNAcentral lists this ribosomal RNA (463 nucleotides) under Streptococcus sp. oral taxon 074. Its description in RNAcentral is "bacterial SSU rRNA". It matches the Rfam family "Bacterial small subunit ribosomal RNA", at positions 28 to 474 of the family's 1533-position model. The record is from RNAcentral. Lineage: Bacteria; Bacillati; Bacillota; Bacilli; Lactobacillales; Streptococcaceae.
GAUGAACGCUGGCGGCGUGCCUAAUACAUGCAAGUAGAACGCUGAAGCUUGGUGCUUGCACCGAGCGGAUGAGUUGCGAACGGGUGAGUAACGCGUAGGUAACCUGCCUGGUAGCGGGGGAUAACUAUUGGAAACGAUAGCUAAUACCGCAUGACAACAGUUAUUGCAUGAUAACUAUUUAAAAGGGGCAAUUGCUCCACUACCAGAUGGACCUGCGUUGUAUUAGCUAGUUGGUGAGGUAACGGCUCACCAAGGCGACGAUACAUAGCCGACCUGAGAGGGUGAUCGGCCACACUGGGACUGAGACACGGCCCAGACUCCUACGGGAGGCAGCAGUAGGGAAUCUUCGGCAAUGGGGGCAACCCUGACCGAGCAACGCCGCGUGAGUGAAGAAGGUUUUCGGAUCGUAAAGCUCUGUUGUAAGUCAAGAACGAGUGUGAGAGUGGAAAGUUCACACUGUACG